GGAAGGGUGGCAGAGUGGUCUAAUGCGACAGUCUUGAAAACUGUUGUCCUUUAACGAGGACCGCGGGUUCGAAUCCCGCCCCUUCCGCCA
RNAcentral lists this transfer RNA (90 nucleotides) under Candidatus Magasanikbacteria bacterium CG_4_10_14_0_2_um_filter_37_12. Its description in RNAcentral is "tRNA-Ser". It matches the Rfam family "tRNA". From Rfam's summary of the family: Transfer RNA (tRNA) molecules are approximately 80 nucleotides in length. The record is from RNAcentral. Lineage: Bacteria; Candidatus Magasanikiibacteriota.